Molecule: long non-coding RNA, 393 nt
Filed under: Vulpes vulpes (red fox)
Lineage: Eukaryota; Metazoa; Chordata; Mammalia; Carnivora; Canidae
Description: lncRNA (ENSVVUG00000012576.1)
Source: RNAcentral
AUGACUACUGCGCUGACAGUGACCAGGAUUGAAGUAAUCGUGGAAAAGUUGGGUUGCCAGCUAAGAAGUCCCAGGAAGAUGUCAGCUAGGACAGAGGUGAGCCAAGCGAGCAGAAGGAAAAACAGCAUGUUCAACACAGAAGACAGCCACAUAAAUCUUAUCAAGCAUGGGAAAAUUAGAUUGCAGAGAAGGAACGUCAAAAAAUUUGCCUGGAUUGACAAGCAACCCAGGUUCUCUUCAGGAAAAGGACUUCAAACAAAUGAACAAAAACAAAGUGAAACAAAGAAAAAGAAAUCCUUCAAGAUGUACUGACAGAAAACGUGAAUUCAUUCUAAGCCUUAAUCACAGAAAUGUCCAUUCCUUGGGAAAAAAUAAAAUGGCCCAUCGUAAACA